UACAGAGGGUGCGAGCGUUAAUCGGAAUUACUGGGCGUAAAGCGUGCGUAGGUGGUGAGUUAAGUCUGUCGUGAAAGCCCCGGGCUUAACCUGGGAAUGGCAUUUGGGACUGCAAGGCUGGAGUACGGCAGAGGAGACUGGAAUUCCUGGUGUAGCAGUGAAAUGCGUAGAGAUCAGGAGGAAUACCGAUGGCGAAGGCAGGUCUCUGGGCCGUUACUGACGCUGAGGAGCGAAAGCGUGGGGAGCGAACAGG
RNAcentral lists this ribosomal RNA (253 nucleotides) under uncultured bacterium. Its description in RNAcentral is "partial 16S ribosomal RNA". It matches the Rfam family "Bacterial small subunit ribosomal RNA", at positions 524 to 776 of the family's 1533-position model. The record is from RNAcentral.